GAUGAAGAACGUAGCAAAAUGCGAUAAGUAAUGUGAAUUGCAGAAUUCAGUGAAUCAUCGAAUCUUUGAACGCACAUUGCGCCCGCCAGUAUUCUGGCGGGCAUGCCUGUUCGAGCGUCAUUUCAACCCUCGAGCACAGCUUGGUGUUGGGACUCGCGUUAAUUCGCGUUCCCCAAAUUGAUUGGCGGUCACGUCGAGCUUCCAUAGCGUAGUAGUAAAACCCUCGUUACUGGUAAUCGUCGCGGCCACGCCGUUAAACCCCAACUUCUGAAUGUUGACCUCGGAUCAGGUAGGAAUACCCGCUGAACUUAAGCAUAUCAAUAAGCGGAGGA
This 332-nucleotide unclassified non-coding RNA is filed under the name soil metagenome. RNAcentral describes it as "partial contains 5.8S ribosomal RNA, internal transcribed spacer 2, and large subunit ribosomal RNA". The stretch from base 1 to 120 matches the Rfam family "5.8S ribosomal RNA", at positions 35 to 154 of the family's 154-position model. The record is from RNAcentral.